Molecule: ribosomal RNA, 523 nt
Filed under: Calonectria ilicicola
Lineage: Eukaryota; Fungi; Ascomycota; Sordariomycetes; Hypocreales; Nectriaceae
Description: eukaryotic LSU rRNA
Rfam family: 5.8S ribosomal RNA (bases 154-307)
Source: RNAcentral
GGAGGGAUCAUUACCGAGUUUACAACUCCCAAACCCCAUGUGAACAUACCUGUUUCGUUCCCUCGGCGGUGUCCGGCAACGGCCCGCCAGAGGACCCAACAAACUCUUUUGAAUUUUUCAGUAUCUUCUGAGUGAAAAAAAACAAUAAAUCAAAACUUUCAACAACGGAUCUCUUGGUUCUGGCAUCGAUGAAGAACGCAGCGAAAUGCGAUAAGUAAUGUGAAUUGCAGAAUUCAGUGAAUCAUCGAAUCUUUGAACGCACAUUGCGCCCGCCAGUAUUCUGGCGGGCAUGCCUGUUCGAGCGUCAUUUCAACCCUCAAGCACCUUCGGGAGCUUGGUGUUGGGGAUCGGCAGGGCGUCCUCCGGGUCGCGCCGUCCCCCAAAUCUAGUGGCGGUCUCGCUGUAGCUUCCUCUGCGUAGUAAUACACCUCGCUCUGGAGUCUCGGUGCGGCCACGCCGUUAAACCCCCAACUUUUUUCUGGUUGACCUCGAAUCAGGUAGGACUACCCGCUGAACUUAAGCA